Molecule: non-coding RNA, 877 nt
Organism: Myodes glareolus (Bank vole)
Lineage: Eukaryota; Metazoa; Chordata; Mammalia; Rodentia; Cricetidae
Source: RefSeq, a predicted model, not a curated record
AGUCAAGCAACACCAAAUGAGGACAGCGUGAAGUCGAACACUCACUGUUUAAAAGCGUGCCUUGAAACAUUAAACCAGCAGUACUAUAAACAGUUUGUGUGUCUCACUAGCUGCCUAGGGUGGCACCAAACACCUGGACUCAGGCGACUGUUCCUGUCUCAGCCUUUGGAGGAGCUAAGAGGAUCAGAGCUACUGGUGGCAAAGCUACUCCUGUCCAGAGGCACUGUGCACUAACUUUCCGCUGGACUGUCAGGCUGCCUUCUGUACCCGACGUUUUCAUACACAUGUCCGUCUGUAGUAACAGGGGACUGAGUGAAGCAUGGUGUAUGCAGGACUGCUCUUGUCACUCACUGGCCAUAUCUGAGUUCCAGUGGCUUUAGGGGUGAGUCCACAUCAUAGGCAAACCCCUCUCAAGGUUUGGUGGGAAGUGGCAUUGUUAUUGGGGAAACUGGAAAGGAACGGAGCGGGGAGAGGUGAGCUAACAGCGGCUCAAGUUCUUUUCUGGGACAGCAAGGAUACAAAGACACAGGCCUCAGAGCUCAGUAACUUCGUUUUUAAUGUAAGCACUUCAUUUUCAAAUACAAAAGCAGGUGGAUAUGCCAUGCCUUCCGCUGGCACUGGUGCACAACCCAGACUGCUUCUCCUGACUCUCACCCCAGGAUUUCCCAUGUUGCAGCUGCACUGUCCAGGGCCCUGGCCGUCCUGAAGUGGAGCUGCACAGGAUCCCUGAACUCAGCCAGGUAAUGGGGUUGGCAUUGCCGGCCUGCGAAGGCAUUUCCAGGAGCCUGUCCCAGAUUCUGUGUAGCUCUACAGAGGACCCUUUGAGGGGAGGGCACCUAUUCAUAAAAAACUGAAAAGGUCUGGGACUUUUGCUUUU